RNAcentral lists this small nucleolar RNA (425 nucleotides) under Saimiri boliviensis boliviensis (Bolivian squirrel monkey). RNAcentral's name for it is "Small Cajal body-specific RNA 2 (ENSSBOG00000010924.1)". It matches the Rfam family "Small Cajal body-specific RNA 2". The record is from Rfam by way of RNAcentral. Lineage: Eukaryota; Metazoa; Chordata; Mammalia; Primates; Cebidae.
GCUUUCGGGAGGGAGCGUGGCCUGCGUCUGGCGUGGUGUGUGUGUGUGGACUUGCUGUGUCGCGUGCGAGGCGCUUGUGAGUCUUGUGUGAGUUGACGCGCGAGUGUGUGAACGUGCGCGCGUGGAGCGUGUUCGGUGAGUGUGUGCGCCCGCCCCUGAACCCUUCCCUCCGCCUACACCUUGAUCUUAUUUGAUCGGGUCGUGACCCCAGCCCCGCCGGGCCGACCCGAAAUGAAAAGCUCUCCUCCUGCGAAGCCCGUUUUCGGGGCGCUGUGCAGCGAGGCCCCUAGGCGGCGGCAACGCUGCGGUCCCCGGGGUCCCGGAGUUGGCUCUGCGGGGCCCGGCGCUCAGAAGUGAUGAAUUGAUCAGAUAGACGAGGCCGGGCUUGUCCCGGGCCACUGAUUAUCGAGGCGAUUCUGAUCUGG